AUGAAGCUGCUUUGGAAAUAAUUUUGCAAUUGAAAUCAGUCGGAGCCCCUGACAAAUCUAGUGUUCAUUGGUUGAAGUUAAUAAUCUGAGGAAACUCAUUCAUUAACACAAUAACUAGGUUUGAGUGUCAUAUUGCUUUAAGACAGUUUACAAUGUUUUUAUAUUUCUUCAAAUGCUUUCAUCUGACAUCAUCACUGUCAUUUUAAGACUGUAGAAGAGAUUUUGAUUGGUGGCCAUCAAAUGAAAAAGCGACAUGUCUCAUUAAACAUCGAGCAUUUAGUAAAUAUUCCAAAGAUGUCUGAAGCAUUCUGAGGCUGUCUGAAAAAUAUACUGAAGAUUCUUAAAAAUUUGAAUUUGCCAUCGACGUCAUCGCACUUUGGAUGAAUGCGGCGCUUUAAAUAUUUUACUUGAUUUAUAUAAAAAAUUAAGAAACCC
Molecule: long non-coding RNA, 435 nt
Organism: Ctenocephalides felis (cat flea)
Lineage: Eukaryota; Metazoa; Arthropoda; Insecta; Siphonaptera; Pulicidae
Exons: 3
Source: RefSeq, a predicted model, not a curated record